AUAUGACGUGCUUGCACUGAAUUGACGUUGGAUUACCAGUGAGCGGCGGACGGGUGAGUAACACGUGGGCAACCUGCCCUGAAGCGGGGGAUAACAUCUGGAAACAGGUGCUAAUACCGCAUAACAACGAAAACCACAUGGUUUUCGUUUCAAAGAUGGUUUCGGCUAUCACUUCAGGAUGGGCCCGCGGUGCAUUAGCUAGUUGGUAAGGUAACGGCUUACCAAGGCAAUGAUGCAUAACCGAGUUGAGAGACUGAUCGGCCACAAUGGAACUGAGACACGGUCCAUACUCCUACGGGAGGCAGCAGUAGGGAAUCUUCCACAAUGGGCGCAAGCCUGAUGGAGCAACACCGCGUGAGUGAAGAAGGGUUUCGGCUCGUAAAGCUCUGUUGUUGGAGAAGAACGUGCGUGAGAGUAACUGUUCACGCAGUGACGGUAUCCAACCAGAAAGUCACGGCUAACUACGUGCCAGCAGCCGCGGUAAUACGUAGGUGGCAAGCGUUAUCCGGAUUUAUUGGGCGUAAAGCGAGCGCAGGCGGUUGCUUAGGUCUGAUGUGAAAGCCUUCGGCUUAACCGAAGAAGGGCAUCGGAAACCGGGCGACUUGAGUGCAGAAGAGGACAGUGGAACUCCAUUGUUAA
Molecule: ribosomal RNA, 639 nt
Filed under: Limosilactobacillus vaginalis
Lineage: Bacteria; Bacillati; Bacillota; Bacilli; Lactobacillales; Lactobacillaceae
Description: bacterial SSU rRNA
Rfam family: Bacterial small subunit ribosomal RNA
Source: RNAcentral